This 253-nucleotide ribosomal RNA is filed under the name uncultured bacterium. RNAcentral's name for it is "partial 16S ribosomal RNA". It matches the Rfam family "Bacterial small subunit ribosomal RNA", at positions 524 to 776 of the family's 1533-position model. The record is from RNAcentral.
UACAGAGGGUGCAAGCGUUAAUCGGAAUUACUGGGCGUAAAGCGUGCGCAGGCGGUUAUAUAAGACAGAUGUGAAAUCCCCGGGCUCAACCUGGGACCUGCAUUUGUGACUGUAUAGCUAGAGUACGGUAGAGGGGGAUGGAAUUCCGCGUGUAGCAGUGAAAUGCGUAGAUAUGCGGAGGAACACCGAUGGCGAAGGCAAUCCCCUGGACCUGUACUGACGCUCAUGCACGAAAGCGUGGGGAGCAAACAGG